RNAcentral lists this ribosomal RNA (791 nucleotides) under uncultured archaeon. RNAcentral's name for it is "bacterial SSU rRNA". It matches the Rfam family "Archaeal small subunit ribosomal RNA", at positions 85 to 879 of the family's 1478-position model. The record is from RNAcentral.
ACUGCUCAGUAACACGUGGAUAACCUGCCCAAGGGUCCGGGAUAACCCCGGGAAACUGGGGAUAAUACCGGAUGGAUCACUAGUGCUGGAAUGCUUGGUGGUCGAAAGGUAACGCCUUUGGAUGGGUCUGCGGCGGAUUAGGUUGACGCCGGUGUAACGUACCGGCGUGCCUGUAAUCCGUACGGGUUGUGGGAGCAAGAGCCCGGAGAUGGAUUCUGAGACACGAAUCCAGGCCCUACGGGGCGCAGCAGGCGCGAAAACUCUACAAUGCAGGCAACUGCGAUAGGGGAACAUCGAGUGGCACCCACCAUGGGUGUCUGUCCAACCGUCUAAAAAACGGUUGUUAGCAAGGGCCGGGUAAGACCGGUGCCAGCCGCCGCGGUAAUACCGGCGGCUCGAGUGGUGGCCGAUAUUAUUGAGUCUAAAGGGUCCGUAGCCGGCUUUGCAAGUCCCCUGGGAAAUCCAGCGGCUUAACCGUUGGGCUUUCAUGGGAUACUACAUUGCUUGGGACUGGGAGAGGUAGGAGGUACUCGGGGGGUAGGGGUGAAAUCCUGUAAUCCUCCGGGGACCACCGGUGGCGAAGGCGUCCUACCAGAACAGGUCCGACGGUGAGGGACGAAAGCUGGGGGCACGAACCGGAUUAGAUACCCGGGUAGUCCUAGCCGUAAACGAUGCCCGCUAGGUGUCACGACGGUCGUGAAUCGUCGUGGUGCCGUAGGGAAGCCGCGAAGCGGGCCACUUGGGAAGUGCGGCCGCAAGGCUGAAACUUAAAGGAAUUGGCGGGGGAGCAC